GACGAACGCUGGCGGCGUGCUUAACACAUGCAAGUCGAACGGAAAGGCCCUGCUUGUGUGGGGUGCUCGAGGGGCGAACGGGUAAGUAACACGUGAGUAACCUGACCUUGAUUUUGGGGUGACUUCAGGAAACUGGGGCUAAUAUCGGAUAGGAGCUCCUGUUGCGUGGUGGGGGUGGGAAAGUUGGGGCGGUUGGGGAUGGACUCGCGGCUGAUCAGCUUGUUGGUGGGGUAGUGGCUUACCAAGGCUUUGACGGGUAGCCGGCCUGAGAGGGUGACCGGCCACAUUGGGACUGAGAUACGGCCCAGACUCCUACGGGAGGCAGCAGUGGGGAAUAUUGCACAAUGGGCGGAAGCCUGAUGCAGCAACGCCGCGUGCGGGAUGACGGCCUUCGGGUUGUAAACCGCUUUCGCCUGUGACGAAGCGUGAGUGACGGUAAUGGGUAAAGAAGCACCGGCUAACUACGUG
RNAcentral lists this ribosomal RNA (468 nucleotides) under uncultured bacterium. Its description in RNAcentral is "partial 16S ribosomal RNA". It matches the Rfam family "Bacterial small subunit ribosomal RNA", at positions 28 to 507 of the family's 1533-position model. The record is from RNAcentral.